RNAcentral lists this ribosomal RNA (1438 nucleotides) under metagenome. RNAcentral describes it as "bacterial SSU rRNA". It matches the Rfam family "Archaeal small subunit ribosomal RNA". The record is from RNAcentral.
UUCCGUUGAUCCUGCGGAGGGUCGCUGCUAUUGGGAUUCGAUUUAACCAUGCAAGUCAAGGGGUCUCUUCGGAGACACCGGCGUAAUGCUCAGUAACACGUCGAUAAUCUGGCCUUAGAUUUGGGAUAGCCCUGGGGAACUGGGGGUAAACCCGAAUAGGGGAUUAUGGCUGGAAUGCCUUAUCCUUUAAAAGCAAUGUCUAAGGGUGAGUCGGCGGCUGAUUAGGUUGUUGGUGGGGUAAUGGCCCACCAAGCCGAAGAUCAGUAGGGGCCUUGAGAGAGGGAGCCCCGAGAAGGGAACUGAGAUACUGUCCCUAGCCCUACGGGGUGCAGCAGGUGCGAAACCUUUACACUGCACGAAAGUGUGAUAAGGGAAUCCCAAGUGCUAAUGCUUUGCAUUGGCUUUUGCCAAGAGUAAAUAUCUUGGCGAAUAAGUGGUGGGCAAGACGGGUGCCAGCCGCCGCGGUAACACCCGCGCCACAAGUGGGGACCUCGUUUAUUGGGCCUAAAGCGUCCGUAGCUGGUUUAGUAAAUCUUCCGUGAAAUCGUUGGGCUUAACCCAACGGCGUGCAGGGGACACUACUAGACUUGGAACCGGGAGGAGUUAGGAGUAUUCUGGGGGGAGCGGUAAAAUGCUAUAAUCCUCGGAAGACUACCUGUGGCGAAGGCGCCUAACCAGAACGGAUUCGACAGUGAGGGACGAAAGCUAGGGGAGCGAACCGGAUUAGAUACCCGAGUAGUCCUAGCAGUAAACGCUGCGAGCUAGGCGUUGCAGGAUCUUCGGGAUUCUGCAGUGUCGUAGUGAAGACGUUAAGCUCGCCGCCUGGGAAGUACGGUCGCAAGGCUGAAACUUAAAGGAAUCGGCGGGGGAGCACUACAACGAGUGAAACGUGCGGUUUAAUCUAAUUAUACACUGAGAAUCUCACCAGGAGCGACUGCAGGAUGAAAGUCAGGUUAAUGGCCUUACUUGACGAGCAGAGAGGUAGUGCAUGGUUGUCGUAAGCUCGUGCCGUAAGGUGUCCUCUUAAGUGGGGCAACGAGCGAGACCUACAUCUACAGUUGCUAGCAACUUCUUUAGAAGGAUUGAGCACACUGUAGAGACUGCCCGGGAAACUGGGAGGAAGGCGUAGGCAAUGGCAGAUCUGUAUGCUCCGAAUCUUCUGGGCUACACGCGCGUCACAAUGGUAGGAACAAAGGGCUGCAACUCCGAAAGGAGAAGCUAAUCCUCCAAAUCCUAUCUUAGUUCUGAUUGAGGGUUGUAACUCACCCUCAUGAUGCUGGAAUUCGUAGUAAUCGGGUGUUAUCAGCGCCCGGUGAAUAUGUCCCUGCUCCUUGCACACACCGCCCGUCAUUCCAUCCGAGCCGGGUUUUGGUGAGGCUUAUUCAUUUGGGUAAGUCGAACCUAAGCUCAGUGAGGCGGGGCAAGUCGUCACAAGGUA